RNAcentral lists this ribosomal RNA (497 nucleotides) under uncultured bacterium. RNAcentral's name for it is "partial 16S ribosomal RNA". It matches the Rfam family "Bacterial small subunit ribosomal RNA", at positions 28 to 507 of the family's 1533-position model. The record is from RNAcentral.
GAUGAACGCUGGCGGCGUGCCUAAUACAUGCAAGUCGAGCGAACAGACGAGGAGCUUGCUCCUCUGACGUUAGCGGCGGACGGGUGAGUAACACGUGGAUAACCUACCUAUAAGACUGGGAUAACUUCGGGAAACCGGAGCUAAUACCGGAUAACAUGUUGAACCGCAUGGUUCAACAGUGAAAGACGGUCUUGCUGUCACUUAUAGAUGGAUCCGCGCCGCAUUAGCUAGUUGGUAAGGUAACGGCUUACCAAGGCAACGAUGCGUAGCCGACCUGAGAGGGUGAUCGGCCACACUGGAACUGAGACACGGUCCAGACUCCUACGGGAGGCAGCAGUAGGGAAUCUUCCGCAAUGGGCGAAAGCCUGACGGAGCAACGCCGCGUGAGUGAAAAAGGUCUUCGGAUCGUAAAACUCUGUUAUUAGGGAAGAACAAAUGUGUAAGUAACUAUGCACGUCUUGACGGUACCUAAUCAGAAAGCCACGGCUAACUACGUG